Molecule: ribosomal RNA, 200 nt
Filed under: uncultured bacterium
Lineage: Bacteria
Description: partial 16S ribosomal RNA
Rfam family: Bacterial small subunit ribosomal RNA
Source: RNAcentral
AGAGUUUGAUCCUGGCUCAGGAUGAACGCUAGCGGCAGGCUUAAUACAUGCAAGUCGAGGGGCAGCACAGAAUAGCAAUAUUUGGGUGGCGACCGGCAAACGGGUGCGGAACACGUACACAACCUUCCUUUAAGUGGGGGAUAGCCCAGAGAAAUUUGGAUUAAUACCUCGUAACAUAUAGAGUGGGCAUCUACUUUAUA